Molecule: small RNA, 27 nt
Filed under: Bombyx mori (domestic silkworm)
Lineage: Eukaryota; Metazoa; Arthropoda; Insecta; Lepidoptera; Bombycidae
Description: ovarian small RNA-24880
Source: RNAcentral
UCAAUGCUGUUAUGUUUGUAAGUAUGC